Fundulus heteroclitus (mummichog) is the source of this 386-nucleotide long non-coding RNA. RefSeq lists it as uncharacterized. The record is from RefSeq and is a predicted model, not a curated record. Lineage: Eukaryota; Metazoa; Chordata; Actinopteri; Cyprinodontiformes; Fundulidae. The transcript has 3 exons.
CUACUGCUGUGUUUCUACCAGUUCCUGUUUGUUCAGCCAGCUGGACUUGAUUUCCCUGUAAAUGUUCAGCCCUCACUGAGGUGCACUUCUACCAUCAGCGUGCUGCUCGAAGUCGGCCUUGUUCCCCAUGUGGGGACGAAGCGUGGGCCUCUGUGAGCUGACCUGAGAGAAACCCCUGUCGGGUGAAAUCACAUGGUCCAGACAGCUGUUUGUUCUGCUCCUGCAGUUCCGUUUGCUCGGCUCUUGCAUCCCAGUCAGACUAACACAGGUUUAAACCUGUUGAAGUCUGUCACUGGCUGUUACUGCUAUUUCAGUGUUGGUUCUGUCAGUCACCCCACCUGCACCCGCUGCUCUCCUGCCUAUUACUGCAUGCCUGCCUCAUCUGC